GCCUGUUCUAAUGAAAUUGCCUAGUUUCGCUUACGAGCAUCAGUAACGUCUUGAUCUCGAUUUCAACGUAAUAUAUUAUCGUAAUUUUUUUUUGGUAAAAAAUAUGGAAAUUAUUAAAUCUAAUGAAGGUGAGUACAAAAUUUGUUUGAGUGAAUAUUUAAUAUGCAUAUAUAAUGAAACAUUAAGGGCGUAUGGAGAUAUACAGCGAAGAAUCUUUAUUGAAAUAUUACAGAUCAAUGUACACGGACUUGGAGAAAUGUAAUCCUCAAAUUGGAAAAGUUUAUAGUCAUAUAGGAUAUAGCUGAUACACACGAGGUAAAAUGUGAUAACUGGACAGUAGGUCUCGGAAUUUUAAAAUGGGCUGGAUAAUAUGUUUUUUAUACAUU
This is a non-coding RNA of Cinara cedri, 386 nucleotides long. The record is from the annotation of a GenBank genome assembly. Lineage: Eukaryota; Metazoa; Arthropoda; Insecta; Hemiptera; Aphididae.